RNAcentral lists this ribosomal RNA (305 nucleotides) under uncultured bacterium. RNAcentral describes it as "partial 16S ribosomal RNA". It matches the Rfam family "Bacterial small subunit ribosomal RNA", at positions 508 to 807 of the family's 1533-position model. The record is from RNAcentral.
ACAGCAGCCGCCGCGGUAAUACGUAGGGUGCGAGCGUUAAUCGGAAUUACUGGGCGUAAAGCGUGCGCAGGCGGUUGUGUAAGACAGGUGUGAAAUCCCCGGGCUUAACCUGGGAACUGCGCUUGUGACUGCACAGCUAGAGUAUGGCAGAGGGGGGUGGAAUUCCACGUGUAGCAGUGAAAUGCGUAGAGAUGUGGAGGAACACCGAUGGCGAAGGCAGCCCCCUGGGCCAAUACUGACGCUCAUGCACGAAAGCGUGGGGAGCAAACAGGAUUAGAUACCCGAGUAGUCCCUGUCUCUUAUAC